This 73-nucleotide transfer RNA is filed under the name Stegodyphus mimosarum. It matches the Rfam family "tRNA". Rfam says of the family: Transfer RNA (tRNA) molecules are approximately 80 nucleotides in length. The record is from Rfam by way of RNAcentral. Lineage: Eukaryota; Metazoa; Arthropoda; Arachnida; Araneae; Eresidae.
GCCUUCGUGGUGUAGUGGUCAGCACGCUCGGCGCGUAUUCGAGAGGUCCGUGGUUCGAUUCCUGGCUAAGGCG